CAUUCAUCUUAAUGGAGACGAACUGAAAAUUUUACAAGUUGGCAACAAUUUCCAUUUAUACAUAACAUGAUAGCAAUCAUGCAUAACAAUUACAACAAUAGAAUGGUGAACACCAAAUUUACUUUUGUGGAUCAACUUUUAUAUACAUAUUUUUUUGCAAAAUACAAGUAAGCAACCAAUUGUACCGUGCUAAGUCCAGCUAGCAGGCAAUAGAAGUAAUCAAGAUGAGCUCGAUUCAGAUUAUCAGCAAACCAACUAUCACGGCCUUCUCCUCCGGUGACUUUCUCAAUGAUAGAGAUGAGAAAACUGUUAAUAAAGCUUUCUUCACCAUAGAUGCUAAUGUAGAGAGAAAGACCCACACUUCUUAAUUCUUUGGGGACUUGAUCAUAGAAGAAUGCACAAAGUAAAUGCAGUGUUCACCAUUCUGUAAUUGUUAUAGAUUAUUGUAAUCAUGUUAUGUAUAAAUGUACAUUGUUGCUAAGUCGUUAAAUUUUCAGUUCGUCUCUAUUAAGAUGCAUGGCUGCAAU
This 527-nucleotide unclassified non-coding RNA is filed under the name Hevea brasiliensis (rubber tree). Lineage: Eukaryota; Viridiplantae; Streptophyta; Magnoliopsida; Malpighiales; Euphorbiaceae. The record is from RNAcentral.